GUUUCCAAAAAAUAUUAAUCUCAAAAAAACAAUGUCCUAGGAUUAUUGUACUUUCAAGCAGUUUCAUUGGUUUUUACCCUACAACAUCUGUCUUAAAGUUUCAAACUAGGUCGGUUUCGUAGUGACUUUAUAAAGCGAGCUAAUAUCAUUUCAAUUCUUUGAAAUGAAAUGAAAAUCGACUAAUAAAACAUUUACGAAUACGUUUAUAAAGCAUUUUAUUAGUGAAAGUCAACUUGAAAUUAUCUUUACCUGAUUAAUUCUCUAAUGACGAAAAAAUUUUAUCUGUGAAUUUAUCAUUGAUGAAAAAUUUUAUUAAUAAAAUAGUAAAAAAGUUUUCAAAAUUUUAUUAUAAUUUUUGGAUAAAUGAAGAAAUUAUUUAAUAAAAAAAAUAAUCACUCUUUUCGACUUUAAAAAUUUAUAAAAUUGUGUUUAUAACCUAUAAUUUACUCAACUCAUCAAUUCUUUUAUUAGUUAGUAAAUUAUCACGCAAGAUGGCACCAGUAUUCUAAUACUUAUAUAUUGCACUAUUCCAUGAGAUUAAAUAAUUAUACUCGAACAGUUCUGAAAUCGAUUAUCUAAACGAUUUUCAUGAAACAAGACCAAUCAUGAAACAUAAUCGAUUUAUUAUUGUUGAAAUAAUUUCGAAGUAAGAUAAAUGCAUUUCGUUUUAAGUUUCAUAUCUGCACAAUCGAUUUCGAUAUUCUUUGAGACCAAGGAUGAUGACUAUACAAAUGAUCCACAAUCAUGAUAACGAUAACAUUGGAAUAUGGAAACGAAAUAAGACGAUGUGAAAUCGAAUGCGAUAAAUGGACGAUCGAGAUCAUGAGGAGAGAAUUAUACACGAUUAAAAGAUUAAAUCGAUGAAGGAUUAAGUCCCAACAUAUUGCUUUAUACUAAUGAAUGUCUUAAAGAUACCGGAAGUCGAAAAUUAGAAAAGAAACCUACGACUUUCGCGAGAAGUUUUAACGAGGUAAACGUGCAAACACCCCAGGUGACGAAUUCAUUUCUAUAUUUACCUGAGCAAGAGAUAUUGAAAAAAGAUGGAUUAUACUAAAGAUCUACACUUGAAGAAUAAUAAUUUCAAAGAAUAAAGAAUCGUGACCAUGAUAGACUUCCUGCUUCCUGUUUCGAUUCACUCUUCGUGAAUGUAUCAUGUCGUUCGAUUCAUUAAAACCCUGAGUGUGAAUCGAGGGAUAUUUUGAAAGUAAGUGUGAAAUAUUUGUAAUAAAUAAUUCGUUUAUUGAAUAUUAAUAUAAUAACCGUAAUAUUUAUAUGGUUUCAAAUAUUUUAUUUAAUUUAAUUCUCAAUUUUAUCCGAAUUUCUCCAAGAUAAUCUUAUUCAAAUUAUUGUUAUUUUAUUUUGAAAAUUUUAAGAGAAAAAAAUUACUUAAAAAUUUUUUUCUUUUAAGAAAAUUAAGAAAGAAAUAUUAAAAAUUAAUAUUUCUUUUUUAAUAAUAACAAUUUUUGUUUUUAAAAUUAAAAUAUCUCAAGUUUUAUUUUUUUAUUUUUAUAAGUUUUUAUUUUAAAUAAAAUAUUUAAUCAUAAAGUACUAUCUAAAGUAAAAUGAUAGUCACAUAAAAUUGGAAUAAAGCAGCAUCUGUUAAAACAAAUUUUCUCGGCUAUGAUUAUGCAUGAUAUUUGUAAUGUCGUCGACAUUGGAAAAAGACAGAGAAUUAUUGACGUUGUGAAAAACAUACGACUUUAUCCAUAAAAGUGCGUUGAAAUUGAUACUGGGAACGCAUUUAUGUGAACGAUCCCGUCCUGAAAACGGAUGCGCAUUGUCAUCAAUGACAUUCGACGAAUAACAAUAAUGACUUUCACAACGCAAAAACAGUAUUAAAAAAAAGAAAAGAGGAGAUA
Molecule: long non-coding RNA, 1859 nt
Filed under: Apis dorsata (giant honeybee)
Lineage: Eukaryota; Metazoa; Arthropoda; Insecta; Hymenoptera; Apidae
Description: uncharacterized LOC116186774
Source: RNAcentral